RNAcentral lists this long non-coding RNA (215 nucleotides) under Mytilus galloprovincialis (Mediterranean mussel). The record is from RNAcentral. Lineage: Eukaryota; Metazoa; Mollusca; Bivalvia; Mytilida; Mytilidae.
CCUACUCUUUUUCGAAAUCUAGAAGGGUGUCUUUAACGUGCAAGAGAUAUGGCUCUCUCUUAACACGGGUCAGCCAUUUAUCGUCCCCUUCCGACGGACUAUCAUCGUUUCCUCAAGACCAUACUCGCAGAUGGUGUCAAGGGAGAGCCGAAAAUUAAGUUCCUGAAAUUUUCAUCCCAAACGGGAAUCGAACCAGGAACCCUUGUGUUAGUAGU